CUGGUCCAUCAAAUAUUAAAAGUGGUACAUAUUGACCACCGUGGCCGUGACGCUGUCGUCGUCGGCGGAUCUCAUCGCGGCCUCCGCCUCUUCGAGAGGCAACUCCGCAUCCCCGGCCAUGGCAGCAGCAGCAGGGCGUCCGCGCCGCAGUCCAUACCUCGCGAGUUGCGGAGUACUCGAAGCCCUUUUCCCUCCUCCCUACAACACAUUCCUAGCAGCACGGCUCACUGGCUCAGCGGCGCGAGAGGCAGGACACAGACCGAGCUCACUGCUGCCAUCCCAUCCCCUCCCUCCACGGCGCUCGUGGAUGCAAAUGAACAGUCGAAACGAACAGCCGAAACAGAGAGGGAAGAAAAGGCCCUGGGCCGUGUCAGAAAACCUAACCUGACCCGGUGCAGCACGGGCCGUUCCGGCCCACGGAGCAACCGCUGCGUGGGCCCGAACAACCUAGUAAUUUCCAGAGAGAUCCGUCCCUAUCCCCAACCUUCCUACCACCACCACGUGGUGUGA
RNAcentral lists this unclassified non-coding RNA (510 nucleotides) under Zea mays. RNAcentral describes it as "misc RNA Zm00001eb012170". The record is from RNAcentral. Lineage: Eukaryota; Viridiplantae; Streptophyta; Magnoliopsida; Poales; Poaceae.